RNAcentral lists this ribosomal RNA (549 nucleotides) under uncultured Glomus. RNAcentral describes it as "SSU rRNA". It matches the Rfam family "Eukaryotic small subunit ribosomal RNA", at positions 548 to 1098 of the family's 1831-position model. Lineage: Eukaryota; Fungi; Glomeromycota; Glomeromycetes; Glomerales; Glomeraceae. The record is from RNAcentral.
UUGGAGGGCAAGUCUGGUGCCAGCAGCCGCGGUAAUUCCAGCUCCAAUAGCGUAUAUUAAAGUUGUUGCAGUUAAAAAGCUCGUAGUUGAAUUUCGGAAUCAAUAUGUUGGUCGUGCCAUUGGUACGUACUGGCAUUAUUGGUUUCUACCUUCUGAAGAACCUCGAUGUCAUUAAUUUGGUGUCUUGGGGAAUCAGGACUGUUACUUUGAAAAAAUUAGAGUGUUUAAAGCAGGCUCGCGCUUGAAGACAUUAGCAUGGAAUAAUGAAAUAGGACGUUUGAUUCUAUUUUGUUGGUUUCUAGGAUCGACGUAAUGAUUAAUAGGGAUAGUUGGGGGCAUUAGUAUUCAAUUGUCAGAGGUGAAAUUCUUGGAUUUAUUGAAGACUAACUACUGCGAAAGCAUUUGCCAAGGAUGUUUUCAUUAAUCAAGAACGAAAGUUAGGGGAUCGAAGACGAUCAGAUACCGUCGUAGUCUUAACCAUAAACUAUGCCGACUAGGGAUCGGAUGAUGUUAAUUUUUUAAUGACUCAUUCGGCGCCUUACGGGAAAC